RNAcentral lists this ribosomal RNA (272 nucleotides) under Staphylococcus sp. HMSC077H01. RNAcentral describes it as "partial 16S ribosomal RNA". It matches the Rfam family "Bacterial small subunit ribosomal RNA", at positions 1 to 261 of the family's 1533-position model. Lineage: Bacteria; Bacillati; Bacillota; Bacilli; Caryophanales; Staphylococcaceae. The record is from RNAcentral.
UUUUAUGGAGAGUUUGAUCCUGGCUCAGGAUGAACGCUGGCGGCGUGCCUAAUACAUGCAAGUCGAGCGAACAGACGAGGAGCUUGCUCCUCUGACGUUAGCGGCGGACGGGUGAGUAACACGUGGAUAACCUACCUAUAAGACUGGGAUAACUUCGGGAAACCGGAGCUAAUACCGGAUAAUAUAUUGAACCGCAUGGUUCAAUAGUGAAAGACGGUUUUGCUGUCACUUAUAGAUGGAUCCGCGCCGCAUUAGCUAGUUGGUAAGGUAAC